Molecule: ribosomal RNA, 856 nt
Filed under: uncultured Gammaproteobacteria bacterium
Lineage: Bacteria; Pseudomonadati; Pseudomonadota; Gammaproteobacteria
Description: bacterial SSU rRNA
Rfam family: Bacterial small subunit ribosomal RNA
Source: RNAcentral
GGAGGGUGCAAGCGUUAAUCGGAAUUACUGGGCGUAAAGCGUGCGUAGGCGGUUUAUUAAGUCAGAUGUGAAAGCCCCGGGCUUAACCUGGGAACUGCAUUUGAAACUGGUCAACUAGAGUAUGGUAGAGGAAAGUGGAAUUUCUGGUGUAGCGGUGAAAUGCGUAGAUAUCAGAAGGAACAUCAAUGGCGAAGGCAACUUUCUGGACCAAUACUGACGCUGAGGUACGAAAGCGUGGGUAGCAAACAGGAUUAGAUACCCUGGUAGUCCACGCCGUAAACGAUGAUAACUAGCCGUUGGGGGGAUUUACCCCUUAGUGGCGAAGCUAACGCGUUAAGUUAUCCGCCUGGGGAGUACGGCCGCAAGGUUAAAACUCAAAGGAAUUGACGGGGACCCGCACAAGCGGUGGAGCAUGUGGUUUAAUUCGAUGCAACGCGAAGAACCUUACCUGGUCUUGACAUCCUGAGAACUUUCUAGAAAUAGAUUGGUGUCUUCGGGAACUCAAUGACAGGUGCUGCAUGGCUGUCGUCAGCUCGUGUCGUGAGAUGUUGGGUUAAGUCCCGUAACGAGCGCAACCCCUAUCCUUAUUUGCCAGCACAUCAUGGUGGGAACUAUAAGGAGACUGCCGGUGAUAAACCGGAGGAAGGCGGGGACGACGUCAAGUCAUCAUGGCCCUUACGACCAGGGCUACACACGUGCUACAAUGGGAAGGACAAAGAGCCGCGAAGCCGCGAGGUGUAGCUAAUCUCAGAAACCUUUUCGUAGUCCGGAUUGGAGUCUGCAACUCGACUCCAUGAAGUCGGAAUCGCUAGUAAUCGUAGAUCAGAAUGCUACGGUGAAUACGUUCCCGGGUCUU